CCCUGGCAGCGGUGAUGACCAGUCCCUUGCUCCACACUCCUUGCAGCAGUCUGAGCUUCCAGGCUCCUAAAAUAGAUCCACCUGAGUCAGAAUCACCCAGCCCCUGUUAAACCUGCUGGUUUCUGGGCGCCUCUCCUGACCUCCUAAAUCAGAGUGUCCGGGGUGGGGGUGGGGGGGCAUGUGGCCCUGCAUUUGUGACAAGCCCCUGGGCAGUUUGGAAGCAUCAUGAACACCAGGCGCCAGCACUGCCUGCUGUGGGGGCUUCCCAAGCCCCGCCCACCCUGUCUGUUCCUCUCUUCACCUGUCUUGGGGCUUUGCCUACUGAUUUACGGUUGUUUCCAGCUGUCCCUCUUGUAGGCUGGCCUCCUUAAGAACAACAUUCAGCUUUGGUCUGCAGUGCCUGGCCCUUAGUGAGCUCUGAUCAGCGCUCCUCUUCCUGCCCACACAACAGCAAAACGCCUGAGAAAGUGUCUGACGGAGGUCUGUGGACCAGGGUGGGAGAGGGGCUGCAGGAGAAGCGCGGGCAGCUGUGUGUGUAACCGGUCAAUUCACACGGUGGCUCAGGGUUCCUCUGGAGGGGAAUCUCCGGCGGUCCCCGUCCACUUUCACAGUCUGGAGGAGCGGCUGAGCCUGCAAAUAAAACAUUCCUAGGGCUCUUCCGGGUCUCUCACUGACCAGCUCUUCCCCAAGGGCCCCCUCCCGGGGAAGUCUGGAGAAUGUCCAGGGAGGCAGCAGCAAGUGACAUACACGGAGUGUCAACAGUGAUGCGGUUUUGGACCUUGGUCUACGAGAUCUUCUCUGAGUUGUUGCUGGGGAAGAAGAUGACUGGGAGAUUUCCUCGGCCUGAUGGCGACUGUGGCAGCCAAUAUACAGGGGUCUGCUGGCUGGAGGAGGAGCCCCCCAAGUCUCGUCAGUGUUGGGGAGGUCCUGAGCCUUGGCCCCUGUGGGACUGAGUUUCAAGCCAAGACUUUGGGAGCUGGCAAGGUCACCAGACGCAAAGCUGCCUGGAGCCAGGGUGGAGCUGCCAGUGGAAGAGCCAGGGGAGGAAGCAAGCGGAGUGGUGGGAGUGGUGGGGAUGUGGUGAAGGCCUGGCCCAUGGCUGCAGAUGCAGAAUGAGAGGCACCCAUGCCGGAGUAAGGCUGGGAGUGCACCAGCAUCACUGUCUGCAAUAAUCCUUUUACAUUAUUUUCAAAGAUACCUUUUUUUAACCUUUAAGAAUCAGAAUAGUUACAUUUAGAACACUUUCUGUAUCAGUUGGUUUUUAGGUGUUAGAAACUGGCAUGAAGCCUGAGAAGAGGCUUAAUUCUGGAAAGUGGAUCUAUUACAGCAGUUUCAACACGGAAAGACAUUUUUAGAAAUGAAUUCUUGGCUUGCAUGGUAAACGCACACUGACCAGCCGAGGCAUUCUAGUAUCUGAUGUGGCCACAGUCCUAAACGGAAAAGCGAGCACCCGCUGUCCUUUAAAACAUCCGCUGCGUCUCAUGCUUCUGUGUGUGCACCAGUGAACCUGCUUUUAUGCUUGUAUUUCUUGUGUUGAAUAUCUGUUUUGAAUUUACACGAUUAUGCUUUGAUUCUUCAUAAUUUCUCAUUUUAUAGGAUGGAUUUGUGUUGACCAUAAGCUGUAAAUAAAAAGAAACAGAUGUGUGAAAUAAA
Molecule: non-coding RNA, 1653 nt
Organism: Vicugna pacos (alpaca)
Lineage: Eukaryota; Metazoa; Chordata; Mammalia; Artiodactyla; Camelidae
Source: RefSeq, a predicted model, not a curated record